This is a non-coding RNA of Mycobacterium sp. SP-6446, 83 nucleotides long. The record is from Rfam. NCBI's taxonomy places the organism in Bacteria, Bacillati, Actinomycetota, Actinomycetes, Mycobacteriales, Mycobacteriaceae.
GGCAGGUUGCCCGAGCGGCCAAUGGGAGCGGACUGUAAAUCCGUCGGCUUACGCCUACACAGGUUCGAAUCCUGUACCUGCCA